GGUGAUGUCGGCCUUGAAUUUCCUGCAUUGAGAAAGGUUAGUUGAAUUUUUUUUAUUUUUCUUUCUUUUUUCUUUUGUCUCUUUUUUCUUUUCUUUUUUAUUAAUAGGAUGAACAGGUAGUCAGAAAUCAAAGGGAUCUUGUUCACAUGGUCCUCCAUAAUCUGCACAAGAUCCUUCAGAGGUGGUAUCUUCUGUUUCUGAUUCUCUUUUCAUCUUGAUGAAUUGUAAAUAUUCUUUUGCUGUUUCGGGAUCCUCUUCAAAGAGUUGGAACAUCUUGACUUGCUUUUGAGAAAGAGGAACUGAUUCCUUUUCUUUUUUCUUUUCAUUGGAAGGAUGAUCUGAAAUGAUUUUCUCU
RNAcentral lists this long non-coding RNA (355 nucleotides) under Salvia miltiorrhiza (redroot sage). Its description in RNAcentral is "long non-coding RNA (SMIL_LNC012419)". The record is from RNAcentral. Lineage: Eukaryota; Viridiplantae; Streptophyta; Magnoliopsida; Lamiales; Lamiaceae.